ACAUCCACAGAACUUUCCAGAGAUGGAUUGGUGCCUUCGGGAACUGUGAGACAGGUGCUGCAUGGCUGUCGUCAGCUCGUGUUGUGAAAUGUUGGGUUAAGUCCCGCAACGAGCGCAACCCUUAUCCUUUGUUGCCAGCGGUCCGGCCGGGAACUCAAAGGAGACUGCCAGUGAUAAACUGGAGGAAGGUGGGGAUGACGUCAAGUCAUCAUGGCCCUUACGACCAGGGCUACACACGUGCUACAAUGGCGCAUACAAAGAGAAGCGACCUCGCGAGAGCAAGCGGACCUCAUAAAGUGCGUCGUAGUCCGGAUUGGAGUCUGCAACUCGACUCCAUGAAGUCGGAAUCGCUAGUAAUCGUGGAUCAGAAUGCCACGGUGAAUACGUUCCCGGGCCUUGUACACACCGCCCGUCACACCAUGGGAGUGGGUUGCAAAAGAAGUAGGUAGCUUAACCUUCGGGAGGGCGCUUACCACUUUGUGAUUCAUGACUGGGGUGAAGUCGUAACAAGGUAACCGUAGGGGAACCUGCGGUUGGAUCACCUCCUUA
RNAcentral lists this ribosomal RNA (549 nucleotides) under Escherichia coli. RNAcentral's name for it is "bacterial SSU rRNA". It matches the Rfam family "Bacterial small subunit ribosomal RNA", at positions 984 to 1533 of the family's 1533-position model. Lineage: Bacteria; Pseudomonadati; Pseudomonadota; Gammaproteobacteria; Enterobacterales; Enterobacteriaceae. The record is from RNAcentral.